This 451-nucleotide ribosomal RNA is filed under the name uncultured bacterium. RNAcentral's name for it is "partial 16S ribosomal RNA". It matches the Rfam family "Bacterial small subunit ribosomal RNA", at positions 29 to 523 of the family's 1533-position model. The record is from RNAcentral.
AACGAACGCUGGCGGCAGGCCUAACACAUGCAAGUCGAACGGACGUAGCAAUACGUUAGUGGCGCACGGGAGAGUAACGCGUGGGAACCUACCUUUUGGUUCGGGAUAACAUCGGGAAACUGGUGCUAAUACCGGAUAAGCCCUUCGGGGGAAAGAUUUAUUGCCGAAAGAUGGGCCCGCGUUGGAUUAGCUAGUUGGUGAGGUAAUGGCUCACCAAGGCAACGAUCCAUAGCUGGUCUGAGAGGAUGAUCAGCCUCACUGGGACUGAGACACGGCCCAGACUCCUACGGGAGGCAGCAGUGGGGAAUAUUGGACAAUGGGGGAAACCCUGAUCCAGCCAUGCCGCGUGAAUGAUGAAGGCCUUCGGGUUGUAAAGUUCUUUUGGUGGGGACGAUGAUGACGGUACCCACAGAAUAAGCUCCGGCUAACUUCGUGCCAGCCGCCGCGGUAA